UACAGAGGUCCCAAGCGUUUGUUCGGAUUCAUUGGGCGUAAAGGGUGCGUAGGCGGUGAUGUAAGUUGGAUGUGAAAUCCCAGGGCUUAACCCUGGAACUGCAUUCAAUACUGCGUUGCUAGAGUACUGGAGAGGAGAUUGGAAUUCACGGUGUAGCAGUGAAAUGCGUAGAUAUCGGGGAGGAACACCGGUGGCGAAGGCGGUUCUCUGGGCCUUACCUGACGCUGAGGAGCGAAAGCGUGGGGAGCGAACAGG
RNAcentral lists this ribosomal RNA (255 nucleotides) under uncultured bacterium. Its description in RNAcentral is "partial 16S ribosomal RNA". It matches the Rfam family "Bacterial small subunit ribosomal RNA", at positions 524 to 776 of the family's 1533-position model. The record is from RNAcentral.